RNAcentral lists this ribosomal RNA (738 nucleotides) under uncultured marine bacterium. Its description in RNAcentral is "bacterial SSU rRNA". It matches the Rfam family "Bacterial small subunit ribosomal RNA", at positions 61 to 847 of the family's 1533-position model. The record is from RNAcentral.
GUCGAACGAAGUAGCAAUACUUAGUGGCAGACGGGUGAGUAACAUGUAGGUAUCUACCCUUUGGCCUGGAAUAACACGAGGAAACUUGUGCUAAUACCGGAUAAGUCUUUACGGAGAAAGCUUUAUGCACCAUUGGAUGAGCCUGCACUUGAUUAGUUUGUUGGUGGGGUAAUGGCCUACCAAGACUGUGAUCAAUAGCUGAUUUGAGAGGACGAUCAGCCACAUUGGGACUGAGACACGGCCCAAACUCCUACGGGAGGCAGCAGUGGGGAAUCUUGCACAAUGGAGGAAACUCUGAUGCAGCGAUGCCGCGUGAGUGAAGAAGGCCUUUGGGUUGUAAAGCUCUUUCGUCGGGGAAGAAAAUGACUGUACCCGAAUAAGAAGGUCCGGCUAACUUCGUGCCAGCAGCCGCGGUAAUACGAAGGGACCUAGCGUAGUUCGGAAUUACUGGGCUUAAAGAGUUCGUAGGUGGUUGAAAAAGUUAGUGGUGAAAUCCCAGAGCUUAACUCUGGAACUGCCAUUAAAACUUUUCAGCUAGAGUAUGAUAGAGGAAAGCAGAAUUUCUAGUGUAGAGGUGAAAUUCGUAGAUAUUAGAAAGAAUACCAAUUGCGAAGGCAGCUUUCUGGAUCAUUACUGACACUGAGGAACGAAAGCAUGGGUAGCGAAGAGGAUUAGAUACCCUCGUAGUCCAUGCCGUAAACGAUGUGUGUUAGACGUUGGAAAUUUAUUUUCAGUGUC